RNAcentral lists this ribosomal RNA (301 nucleotides) under uncultured bacterium. RNAcentral describes it as "partial 16S ribosomal RNA". It matches the Rfam family "Bacterial small subunit ribosomal RNA", at positions 509 to 807 of the family's 1533-position model. The record is from RNAcentral.
CAGUAGCCGCGGGAAUACGUAGGGGGCUAGCGUUGCUUGGAAUGACUGGGCGUAAAGGGCGCGUAGGCGGCGAUCAAAGUCAGGCGUGAAAUUCCUGGGCUCAACCUGGGGGCUGCGCUUGAUACUUGGUUGCUUGAGUGGGGAAGAGGGUCGUGGAAUUCCCAGUGUAGAGGUGAAAUUCGUAGAUAUUGGGAAGAACACCGGUGGCGAAGGCGGCGACCUGGUCCUUUACUGACGCUGAGGCGCGAAAGCGUGGGGAGCAAACAGGAUUAGAUACCCCCGUAGUCCCUGUCUCUUAUAC